This 529-nucleotide ribosomal RNA is filed under the name uncultured bacterium. RNAcentral describes it as "partial 16S ribosomal RNA". It matches the Rfam family "Bacterial small subunit ribosomal RNA", at positions 355 to 900 of the family's 1533-position model. The record is from RNAcentral.
UGGGGAAUAUUGCACAAUGGGCGAAAGCCUGAUGCAGCAACGCCGCGUGAGUGAUGAAGGUCUUCGGAUUGUAAAGCUCUGUCUUUUGGGACGAUAAUGACGGUACCAAAGGAGGAAGCCACGGCUAACUACGUGCCAGCAGCCGCGGUAAUACGUAGGUGGCGAGCGUUGUCCGGAUUUACUGGGCGUAAAGGGUGCGUAGGCGGAUGUUUAAGUGAGAUGUGAAAUACCCGGGCUUAACUUGGGUGCUGCAUUUCAAACUGGAUAUCUAGAGUGCAGGAGAGGAGAAUGGAAUUCCUAGUGUAGCGGUGAAAUGCGUAGAGAUUAGGAAGAACACCAGUGACGAAGGCGAUUCUCUGGACUGUAACUGACGCUGAGGCACGAAAGCGUGGGUAGCAAACAGGAUUAGAUACCCUGGUAGUCCACGCCGUAAACGAUGAGUACUAGGUGUAGGAGGUAUCGACCCCUUCUGUGCCGCAGUAAACACAUUAAGUACUCCGCCUGGGAAGUACGAUCGCAAGAUUAAAAC